This 488-nucleotide ribosomal RNA is filed under the name Escherichia coli. Its description in RNAcentral is "bacterial SSU rRNA". It matches the Rfam family "Bacterial small subunit ribosomal RNA", at positions 67 to 543 of the family's 1533-position model. The record is from RNAcentral. Lineage: Bacteria; Pseudomonadati; Pseudomonadota; Gammaproteobacteria; Enterobacterales; Enterobacteriaceae.
CGGUAACAGGAAGCAGCUUGCUGCUUUGCUGACGAGUGGCGGACGGGUGAGUAAUGUCUGGGAAACUGCCUGAUGGAGGGGGAUAACUACUGGAAACGGUAGCUAAUACCGCAUAACGUCGCAAGACCAAAGAGGGGGACCUUCGGGCCUCUUGCCAUCGGAUGUGCCCAGAUGGGAUUAGCUAGUAGGUGGGGUAAAGGCUCACCUAGGCGACGAUCCCUAGCUGGUCUGAGAGGAUGACCAGCCACACUGGAACUGAGACACGGUCCAGACUCCUACGGGAGGCAGCAGUGGGGAAUAUUGCACAAUGGGCGCAAGCCUGAUGCAGCCAUGCCGCGUGUAUGAAGAAGGCCUUCGGGUUGUAAAGUACUUUCAGCGGGGAGGAAGGGAGUAAAGUUAAUACCUUUGCUCAUUGACGUUACCCGCAGAAGAAGCACCGGCUAACUCCGUGCCAGCAGCCGCGGUAAUACGGAGGGUGCAAGCGUUAA